AUCAAGUUAGUUUAUUAAAAACUUUAGGAUGUGGGCCUAAAAAUGAAAAGCUUUUUCACUUGAUA
RNAcentral lists this transfer RNA (65 nucleotides) under Phasianella australis. Its description in RNAcentral is "tRNA-His". The record is from RNAcentral. Lineage: Eukaryota; Metazoa; Mollusca; Gastropoda; Trochida; Phasianellidae.